GGAGAGAUGGCCGAGAGGAUUAAGGCGUUCCCCUGCUAAGGGAAUAUGAAAAAAAAAUAAAUUUCAUCGAGGGUUCGAAUCCCUCUCUCUCCG
RNAcentral lists this transfer RNA (93 nucleotides) under Candidatus Legionella polyplacis. Its description in RNAcentral is "Legionella endosymbiont of Polyplax serrata tRNA-Ser". It matches the Rfam family "tRNA". From Rfam's summary of the family: Transfer RNA (tRNA) molecules are approximately 80 nucleotides in length. Their secondary structure includes four short double-helical elements and three loops (D, anti-codon, and T loops). The record is from RNAcentral. Lineage: Bacteria; Pseudomonadati; Pseudomonadota; Gammaproteobacteria; Legionellales; Legionellaceae.